GUUGGACCUUCCUCCUUCAGAGCAAGUCAGGAUUGCCAGAUUCAUAGAAUUUGUAACUAGUCAACUUUAUUAUGGAUUGUUCUAGGAUUUAUGAUAAAUGAAACAUUAAACAUUAUCAUCAUCCAAAGUCAGUGAGUUUUUAUUCCACAUGCGGGAGAUGGGACACUUUUAAUAAAUCCUGCAAGACCUCAUUUCCACGGUCUUAGAGAUGGGACAAUUCUAAUUCUUGGAACACUGACGUAAUAGCAUCAAAAAUUAAAGUGCUUGCUGUAGAAAUAUUGAUAUGUAUGUAUGUUGAAAGGUGAUGGGAAAUGAAAGGUUAUGAGAAAUGUUCUGUAAACCAUCAUGUCUUCUAGAGUAAACCCAACUAAGGCUUGUCUCUCCUAAAGUAGUUAAAAACCUCUCUUGGGAAACACUGGUGUGCUGUUGUUCCAUGAGCUGCAUUCUGAUGUUCUAGUAUUAGCCAUUGAUCGUUCAGUCCAAGAAAUAUAUAUGUAAUGUAUUUUUGGUUGACAUUCAUUUUAAGCAGUUGCAAGUUUCCUACUUCAGCCCUCACAGGCCAAAUUUUAUACCCCAUUUUUGCAUGAUAGGCAUAGUUCUUCUACAUCCUUGAGUAGUGAAUGCAUUAAAUUCUAUUGUUUGUGCCUCACAGAAAUUACUAAUCAUGACAGGUAACAAGGAGC
RNAcentral lists this unclassified non-coding RNA (683 nucleotides) under Hevea brasiliensis (rubber tree). The record is from RNAcentral. Lineage: Eukaryota; Viridiplantae; Streptophyta; Magnoliopsida; Malpighiales; Euphorbiaceae.